This 161-nucleotide ribosomal RNA is filed under the name uncultured bacterium. RNAcentral's name for it is "partial 16S ribosomal RNA". It matches the Rfam family "Bacterial small subunit ribosomal RNA", at positions 358 to 511 of the family's 1533-position model. The record is from RNAcentral.
GGAAUCUUCCACAGUGGACGAAAGUCUGAUGGAGCAACGCCGCGUGAGUGAAGAAGGGUUUCGGCUCGUAAAACUCUGUUGUUAAAGAAGAACAUAUCUGAGAGUAACUGUUCAGGUAUUGACGGUAUUUAACCAGAAAGCCACGGCUAACUACGUGCUAG